GGAAUCAAUGGGGAUCAAUGGGGAUCAAUGGGAAUCAAUGGGAAUCAAUGGGAAUCAAUGGGGAUCAAUGGGGAUCAAUGGCACUCACCCGGCCAUGGGGGACGGAGCCAAUCACAUGGGGCAGAUGUGACAGCUUUGGGAGGAAAAAAAGGAGAAAAUUUUGUACAAAAAAAUCUCGACAAGUCUGAGUCAUUCCAUGGGCACAGACGCCUGAAAAUUCCCUAAAAAACCCCAAAAAAUUCCCUAAAAAAAUUCCCUAAAAAAUUCCCUAAAAAACCCCAAAAAAUUCCCAAAAAUUCCCCAAAAAAUCCUGGAAAAUUUGGGAAUUUUUCGCUUCCACACUGUGGAUUUUGUGCCUAAAGAAAUGUUGAAUUUUGGUUUUUUUUUUUGGAGAAAUAAAGUGAAAAAAUGGGAAAAAAAUGGGGGGAAAAUGAGAAUUUUUGGAGGGAUAAAGGGGAAAUAAUUGGAAUAAAAUUGGGAAAAAAUUGGGGGAAAAAUGGGAAAAAUUUGGGAUAAAAUGGGGGAAAAUUUGGGGAAAAAUUUGGGAUAAAAUGGGGAAAAUUGGGGGAAAAUUUGGGGAAAAAUGGGAAAAAAUUGGAAUAAAAAUGGGGGGAAAUUGGGGAAAAAAUGAGAAAAAAAUUGGGAAAAAAUUUGGAGUAAAAAUGCAAAAAAUGCAGAAAAAUUUGAAUAAAAUUGGGGGAAAAUUUGGGAAAAAAUUGGAAUAAAAAUGGGAAAAAUUGGGGGAAAUGGAAUAAAAAUUGAGGAAAAAAUUGGGGAAAAAUUGGAAUAAAAUUGGGGAAAAAUUGGGGAAAAAAUGGAAUAAAAAUGGGGGAAAAUUGGGAAAAAUUUGGAAUAAAAAUUGGGGAAAAUUGGGAAAAAAAGAAUAAAAAUGGAGGAAAAAUUAGAAAAAAUUGGGGAAAAAUUGGAAGAAAAAUGGGGAAAAUAUUGGAAUAAAAAUGGAAAAAAUUGGGGGAAAAUUGGUGAAAAUAAUGGGAAAAAUUGGUGAAGAAAAAGAGGAAAAAAGAGGGGAAAUUGGGGGAAAAAUGGGAAUAAAAAUUGAAAAAAAUUGGAAUGAAAAUGGGGGAAAAUUGGGGAAAAUUUGGGAUAAAAUGGGGGAAAAAAUUGGGAUAAAAAGGGAAAAAAUAGGAGAAAAAAUGGGAAUAUUUGGAGAAAAUUAGGGAAAAUUGUGGGAAAAAAAAUCAGAAAAAAUUGGGAAAAUUAAGUAAAAAAUGGGAAAAAAAAGGGGAAAAAAUAAAAUUAAAAAAAAAAAAAGGAAAAAACAGAAAAAAAUAAAUAAAAAUGGACCAGUGCCUCGAUUUUUUCCAUGGAUUUUUGGUGUUUCUCUGAGUUGUGGAAUUGUCCGGCCGGGCUGGGAAAGUUCUGGAAGUUCUUUGUGUUUCAUUCUUGUAGCAAUAAAUGUGAUUUUCUA
Long non-coding RNA from Zonotrichia leucophrys gambelii, 1429 nucleotides. RefSeq lists it as uncharacterized. Lineage: Eukaryota; Metazoa; Chordata; Aves; Passeriformes; Passerellidae. The record is from RefSeq and is a predicted model, not a curated record. The transcript is spliced from 2 exons.